RNAcentral lists this ribosomal RNA (492 nucleotides) under uncultured bacterium. Its description in RNAcentral is "bacterial SSU rRNA". It matches the Rfam family "Bacterial small subunit ribosomal RNA", at positions 15 to 518 of the family's 1533-position model. The record is from RNAcentral.
GAUUCUGGCUCAGGAUGAACGCUGGCGGCGCGCUUAACACAUGCAAGUCGAACGGUUAAAGCACCUCCGGGUGUGCAUAAAGUGGCGAACGGCUGAGUAACACGUGGGCAACCUGCCCCCCGCACCGGGAUAGCCUCGGGAAACCGUGGGUAAUACCGGAUACUCCGCCACCCCCGCAUGGGGGAGGCGGGAAAGCGUACACGGCGGGGGAUGGGCCCGCGGCCUGUUAGCUCGUUGGCGGGGUAACGGCCCACCAAGGCGAUUAUGGGUAGCCGGGUUGAGAGACCGACCGGCCAGAUUGGGACUGAGACACGGCCCAGACUCCUACGGGAGGCAGCAGUGGGGAAUCUUGCACAAUGGGCGAAAGCCUGAUGCAAGCGACGCCGCGUGCGGGAUGAAGGCCCUCGGGUUGUAAACCGCUUUCAGCAGGGACGAGGCGCAAGUGACGGUACCUGCAGAAGAAGCCCCGGCUAACUACGUGCCAGCAGCCGC